CACGAAAAAUUGGCAAUUUGGCAUUCAUAUAUAUAUAUAUAUAAACAUUAAGAAAUUUAGAUAUAAUUUUCAUAUUACGAGAUAAAUAUUUAAUUAUUGGGUUACUAACUGUAGACUCGCCAUAACAUGGGCUUUUAAUGGUAGAAGAAAUACAUAGCCCAUUGCCCAUUAUAAUAAUCAAUUCUGACUAAAAACCCAAAUACCCAACCCAAAAGAAAAAGGCCCAUAACACACAAACAGUGGUAACUCGACCCGAACCAAAGUGACCCUGCAAGCAGAUGCCAUGCAGCAGCAUUAUACAACUCCAAAUUGAUGGGAAGCCCAUUUUGAAAUGAUCAGCUAAUGCGGCGGCAUAGAGUAAUCCCAUCACCAACAGGGAGCUGGCAAAUCUCGACCCUUGGAUCAGCAGCCAUGGCCUUGUUGAACUCCAACACAUAAUCCAGGUAGACCCUGAUAUAUUUCUUCAGUGGUGCAUCAGGGGGUGCCGCCACAGAACCAUUCCACAGGGUGUUGUCAUAGCCGAUGAGUCCUCCGACCUUCACAAGCUCAAUGGUCCUCUUGUGGUAGUUGAGGUAAUUGUCUUUGUCAGCAUCCACAAAGAUAAAAUCAAACGUUCCGUGGUAUUUUCCAUCUUGGAUCAAUUGAUCAAGAACAGGAAGAGCAGGGCCUUCUCUGAAGUCAAUCUUGUGAGCAACACCAGCUUUUUCAAUUACAGGUAGACCCAAUUCAUAGUUUUCACGAUUGAUGUCCAUGGCCAAUAUCUUGCCAUCAUCAGGAAGAGCAAGAGC
This 788-nucleotide unclassified non-coding RNA is filed under the name Hevea brasiliensis (rubber tree). Lineage: Eukaryota; Viridiplantae; Streptophyta; Magnoliopsida; Malpighiales; Euphorbiaceae. The record is from RNAcentral.